GACGAACCGUGCGAACGUUGUUCGGAAUCACUGGGCUUAAAGGGCGCGUAGGCGGCUUGUCAAGUCAGGGGUGAAAUCUUUCGGCUCAACCGGAAAAGUGCCUUUGAUACUGACAGGCUCGAGGGAGGUAGGGGUAUGUGGAACUUCUGGUGGAGCGGUGAAAUGCGUUGAUAUCAGAAGGAACGCCGGUGGCGAAAGCGACGUACUGGACCUCUUCUGACGCUGAGGCGCGAAAGCUAGGGGAGCAAACGGG
Molecule: ribosomal RNA, 253 nt
Filed under: uncultured bacterium
Lineage: Bacteria
Description: partial 16S ribosomal RNA
Rfam family: Bacterial small subunit ribosomal RNA
Source: RNAcentral